Carassius auratus (goldfish) is the source of this 512-nucleotide long non-coding RNA. RefSeq lists it as uncharacterized. The transcript has 2 exons. NCBI's taxonomy places the organism in Eukaryota, Metazoa, Chordata, Actinopteri, Cypriniformes, Cyprinidae. The record is from RefSeq and is a predicted model, not a curated record.
UGGAUACAGCAGGCCUGUCACCUGACACUUCACUGUCACAUGACAUCAUGCACCUGCCAUGUUUGAAGGAUGGAGUGUAGGAUUCUUUUCCCAGUUUCAUGAAAGAGUCAAUCUAAUGUAGGUGAAUUAAAUUUUCCUACAAACCGCCUUCACUCUUUACUCUUAUUCGGGAUUGUGCACUUCAGCACUGGAUCUGUUGGGAGGUCUCCCCCAAUCUCACUUUCUUUUACAGCCCUUCUUCUCCAUCCUUUCUCCAUGUAGUGCUCAUAUUGGUUUUCCUCUUUCGUUCUCUCUCUGGAACUCUCUCGUCUUUUCCCAAACGGGAUUAUUUACUUCAGAUUCCAGCUGAAUUUCUUCAUUCGCCGCAGGACUGCCUGGAGCCACAUAACAAUCAAAGCAGGAUCAUCCUCUCCUCACAACCCCCAGAGAGAUACAGAGAGAAUAUGGAGAGAUGGAUCUAAGGUCAUAGCUCUGCUGUUCUUUAGCUCCAUGGGAAUAAAGGUCAUGAACAG